This 433-nucleotide ribosomal RNA is filed under the name uncultured bacterium. Its description in RNAcentral is "partial 16S ribosomal RNA". It matches the Rfam family "Bacterial small subunit ribosomal RNA", at positions 29 to 507 of the family's 1533-position model. The record is from RNAcentral.
AACGAACGCUGGCGGCAUGCCUAACACAUGCAAGUCGAACGAGACCUUCGGGACUAGUGGCGCACGGGUGCGUAACGCGUGGGAACCUGCCCUUAGGUUCGGACUAACUCCCCGACAGGGGUGCUAAUACCGGAUAAUGUCUUCGGACCAAUGAUUUAUCGACUUUGGAUGGGCCCGCGUUGGAUUAGCUUGUUGGUAGGGUAAAAGCCUACCAAGGCGACGAUCCAUAGCUGGUCUGAGAGGAUGAUCAGCCACACUGGGACUGAGACACGGCCGAGAAUCCUACGGAAGGCAGCAGUGGGGGAUAUUGGACCACGGGCGAAAGCCUGAUCCAGCAAGGCCGCGAGAGUGAUGAAGGCCUUAGAGUUGAAAAGCUCUUUUAACCGGGAUGAUAAUGACAGUACCGGGAGAAUAAGCACCGGCUAACUCCGUG